UACCUUCUCUAAAUCAAAUCGAACCUUUUUCGAUUGCGCCGCUUUCGGCGGUGGAAGACCGUUUUCGUCAAAAU
Non-coding RNA from Caenorhabditis elegans, 74 nucleotides. The record is from Ensembl. NCBI's taxonomy places the organism in Eukaryota, Metazoa, Nematoda, Chromadorea, Rhabditida, Rhabditidae.